This is a non-coding RNA of Acanthosepion pharaonis, 113 nucleotides long. The record is from the annotation of a GenBank genome assembly. Lineage: Eukaryota; Metazoa; Mollusca; Cephalopoda; Sepiida; Sepiidae.
UUACGAUCAUAUCGUGUUGAAACACAGGCUCUCAUACGAUUACCGAAGAUAGCAACUUCGAGCCUGAUCAUUACCUACAUGGGUGACUGCUUGGGAAUACCAGGUGCUGUAAG